UAUUUUAAAAAGGAACUUUCUGCCACUCCAGAUAUGGGUUUGUUUGGACCCAGGCUUUCGACACUGUAGUUUGAUUCCACUUUAAUUGCCAUGAAAUCCUGGGAUGUGAGGUUUGCUCUCUUUGCAAAACAACAACUCCCAGGAUACUGUUGUAUUGAGCCACACAGGUAAAAAUAAAUUCGUUCUCAACACCAUAGGUAUCAUCUUCUCAAUGUAUUUUCAGAAAGUUACAUUUAUUAAAAAUACCGUAUUUGAGCAUUGCACUUGGGGACAUAUUUCUGUGUAUGUGCGUGUAAUAUAUUUGCAACUAUAACCAUGUAGUUUUUUAUAUAUUUACUAGCUUUGCCCGGCCACGCGUUGCUGUGGCUUAUGGGAAUCCUUUGUUGGCCAGGUGGAAUAGCAGUGAAUAGCCUUGCAGUCUCAAAGCCUGGCCAUUUUCUGGAGUAGCUGGAGCUUUUUGUUGUAUGAACUCAGAGGCAUGGAUGAGGGGUUGUGCUGCCAAGUUUAGGGUUUCUGGGAUGUGUAGUUUUGUUGUUUUGUCCUAGGCCGAAAUUACAUUACCCUUUUAUAUAUCUACUAGCUGUGCCCUGCCACGCGUUGCUGUGGCAAAGUGGUGGUGGUAUUGGUUAAAAAUUGUUGUGUAAUUUUUAUUUGACGUUAUUUGUAUUUUUUAAUUAAUUUUAUUGUAAGUUAUCUUUUUAUUUAUUAUAUUUUAUUAUUUUCUUGUAUAAUUUUUUAGUUAUUUUUUGUUGUUAUGGUAUUUUAUUGUAUUCAUUUUUUAGUAUUUUUUAUUAUUUUUUAUUGGGUUGCUAGGAGACCAAGUUGGAGGAGCUUAGCCUUCUAACUGGCAGCAAUUGGAUAAAAGCAAUUAUUCCUCUCUCUCUAAUUAGGACUUUAUUUUUCUUUUCUUUUUGUUGUAUCAACCUAGAGGCGUGGAUGAUGGGUUGUGUUGUCAAAUUUCGAGGUUGGGGGGCCUGUAGUUUUGUUGUUUUGUGGGUUGCUAGGAGACCAAGUGGGUGGAGCUUAGCCUUCUAACUGGCAGCAAUUGGAUAAAAACAAUUAUUCCUCUAAUUAGGACUUUAUUUUUCUUUUCUUUUUGUUGUAUGAACGUAGAGGCAUGGAUGAGGGGUUGUGCUGCCAAGUUUAGUGUUUCUGGGAUGUGUAGUUUUGUUGUUUUGUCCUAGGCCGAAAUUUCAUUACCUUUUUCUAUAUAGAGAUGAUUAGGAGUAUUGCGAAGAGGAGGCCGUU
This 1248-nucleotide long non-coding RNA is filed under the name Anolis carolinensis (green anole). RNAcentral describes it as "lncRNA (ENSACAG00000035206.1)". Lineage: Eukaryota; Metazoa; Chordata; Lepidosauria; Squamata; Anolidae. The record is from RNAcentral.